This 99-nucleotide signal recognition particle RNA is filed under the name Thermoflexia bacterium. RNAcentral's name for it is "signal recognition particle sRNA small type". It matches the Rfam family "Bacterial small signal recognition particle RNA". Rfam says of the family: The signal recognition particle (SRP) is a universally conserved ribonucleoprotein involved in the co-translational targeting of proteins to membranes. The record is from RNAcentral. Lineage: Bacteria; Bacillati; Chloroflexota; Thermoflexia.
GGCUGGGGGCUGUGCGGCAGAGUCCUCCGAACCCCGCCAGGUCCGGAAGGAAGCAACGGUAAGGUACGACUUCUGGGUGUCGCAGUUUUCUGGCUUUCA